GAAAAGUUUUUAAAAGCUGCUAACUUUUUAUUAGUUAAAAACUACUUAAUA
Molecule: transfer RNA, 51 nt
Filed under: Tetragnatha nitens
Lineage: Eukaryota; Metazoa; Arthropoda; Arachnida; Araneae; Tetragnathidae
Description: tRNA-Ser
Source: RNAcentral